This 253-nucleotide ribosomal RNA is filed under the name uncultured bacterium. RNAcentral describes it as "partial 16S ribosomal RNA". It matches the Rfam family "Bacterial small subunit ribosomal RNA", at positions 524 to 776 of the family's 1533-position model. The record is from RNAcentral.
UACGGGGGGGGUAAGCGUUGUCCGGAAUUAUUGGGCGUAAAGAGCUCGUAGGCGGUUCGUCGCGUCGGCUGUGAAAUCCCGAGGCUCAACCUCGGGUCUGCAGUCGAUACGGGCGGACUGGAGUUCGGCAGGGGAGACUGGAAUUCCUGGUGUAGCGGUGAAAUGCGCAGAUAUCAGGAGGAACACCGGUGGCGAAGGCGGGUCUCUGGGCCGAGACUGACGCUGAGGAGCGAAAGCGUGGGGAGCGAACAGG